GAUGAACGCUGGCGGCGUGCCUAACACAUGCAAGUCGAGCGAACGGACGAGAAGCUCGCUUCUCUGAUGUUAGCGGCUGACGGGUGAGUAACACGUGGAUAACCUACUUAUAUGACUGGGAUAACUUCGGGAAACCGGAUCUACUACCGCAUCAUAUUUUGAACCGCAUGGUUCAAAAGUGCAAGACGGUCUUGCUGUCACUUAUAGAUGGAUCCGCGCUGGAUUAGCUAGUUGGUAAGGUAACGGCUCACCAAGGCGGCGAUGCGUAUCCGACCUGAGAGGAGGAUGAGCGACACUGGAACUGAGACACGGUCCAGACGAACACGGGAGGCAGCAGUGGGGAAUAUUGGACAAGGGGCGCAAGUCUGACCGAGCAAUACCGCGUGGGUGAAGAAGGCCUUCGGGUUGUAAAGACCUUUUGUUGGGAAAGAAAAGAAGCAGGUUAAUACCCCGCUGUCCUGACGGGACCCAAAGAAUAAGCACCGGCUAACUUCGUG
Molecule: ribosomal RNA, 497 nt
Filed under: uncultured bacterium
Lineage: Bacteria
Description: partial 16S ribosomal RNA
Rfam family: Bacterial small subunit ribosomal RNA
Source: RNAcentral